CCUACGGGGGGCAGCAGUAAGGAAUAUUGGUCAAUGGAGGAAACUCUGAACCAGCCAUCCCGCGUGAAGGAUGAAGGGGCUCUGCCUUGUAAACUUCUUUUGUCUGGGGCGAACAAGCUCGAUUUAUCGAGAACUGACGGUACCAGAAGAAUAAGCACCGGCUAACUCCGUGCCAGCAGCCGCGGUCAUACGGAGGGUGCGAGCGUUAUCCGGUUACACUGGGUUUAGGGGGUGCGUAGAGGCCUUGGUGAAAGGCUGUGGCUUAACCAUGGAAUUGCCAUUGAUACUGCAGAGCUUGAAUGAGGUUGAGGUUGGCGGAAUGUGACAUGUAGCGGUGAAAUGCUUAGAUAUGUCAUGGAACACCGAUUGCGAAGGCAGCUGACUGGACCUAUAUUGACGCUGAGGCACGAAAGCGUGGGGAGCGAACAGGAUUAGAUACCCUAGUAGUC
This 449-nucleotide ribosomal RNA is filed under the name uncultured bacterium. RNAcentral's name for it is "partial 16S ribosomal RNA". It matches the Rfam family "Bacterial small subunit ribosomal RNA", at positions 338 to 795 of the family's 1533-position model. The record is from RNAcentral.